CCACUAAGUCAUUCUCUACAACACCAUAUGAGAUAUGGAAAGGAUGUAAGCCUAACCUUAAACAUAUUAGGGUUAGGGGUUGUCCAACUUAUGUUAAGAGACUACAGUCUGAUAAACUUGACUCAAGAUCUGAUAAGUGUACGUUCAUUUGGUAUCCCAAGGAAACAAGGAGAUAUUAUUUCUAUCACCCUUCUGACCAAAGUGUUUGUGGCUAGAGGAGCAACCUUUUUGGAAAGGGAAUUCCUUUUGGAAGGAAAUUAUAAUGGGGAGAUAAUCACCCUUCUGACCAAAGUGUUUGUGGCUAGAGGAGCAACCUUUUUGGAAAGGGAAUUCCUUUCGGAAGGAAAUUAUAAUGGGGAGAUAGAACUUGAUGAAGAUCAAGAAACUAAUGAGUCAACACAAUAUGAAGAUCAUGAGAUCCAAGUUGAAGAACCUUUAUUGGAUGUUCUGAAGUUGCCAAGGAAAAUGCCAUCUUCAACGUUUGAAGUUCAAGAACUAAAUGAAGUUCAAGAACAAGUUAUGAACCAGUUCCAAACCAAAUUGAGCAACAACGAAAUCCAACACAAGGUGAACAGGUUGUACAAGUACCUCUUCGAAGGUCUACACGAGAACGUCAUGUACCAACUAGAUUAAAUUUAUUGGUACAAGAUGAUUUAUCAAAUGAGUUUGAUCAUAAUGAUGAUGACCCUAAGACCUAUGAAGAGACUAUACAAAGUUCUGAUUAUGAGAAGUGGCAAAAGGCCAUGGAAUCCAUGAAGGAAAACAAAGUAUGGACUUUAGUUGAACCAUCAAAGGAUAUAAAACCUAUAGGUUGUAAAUGGGUUUUUAUGAAAAAGAUUGGAGCAGAC
Molecule: long non-coding RNA, 848 nt
Filed under: Nicotiana benthamiana
Lineage: Eukaryota; Viridiplantae; Streptophyta; Magnoliopsida; Solanales; Solanaceae
Description: long non-coding RNA (NBEN_LNC015359)
Source: RNAcentral